Vigna radiata var. radiata (mung bean) is the source of this 202-nucleotide long non-coding RNA. RefSeq lists it as uncharacterized. The transcript is spliced from 3 exons. NCBI's taxonomy places the organism in Eukaryota, Viridiplantae, Streptophyta, Magnoliopsida, Fabales, Fabaceae. The record is from RefSeq and is a predicted model, not a curated record.
CAUACAAAUAUCCAACAAAUAAAUCAAUAUGAAUCUUAUGCGAGUCUUUGACAUCAUUAUCUCAGAUGGUGGAAAUCUAGUAUUACAAGAAAUUGAUGAUAAUGUUGUGAGGACGAAGCUAUAGGGUGUGUAUGCAACAUUCCUCUCUACAAUAAAAUAUGAUUUGGAGAAUCUAAAUAAACCAUUUUAUUAUUAUGUUAUU